Spea bombifrons (plains spadefoot toad) is the source of this 513-nucleotide long non-coding RNA. RefSeq lists it as uncharacterized. NCBI's taxonomy places the organism in Eukaryota, Metazoa, Chordata, Amphibia, Anura, Pelobatidae. The transcript has 3 exons. The record is from RefSeq and is a predicted model, not a curated record.
UUAGGCACCAACAUUUCUCGUGGUAGACAUUUACUCGGGUCUGUGAUGGACGAUUUAACAACGUUCUAUGGAUCUUCACAAACCUUGCCACGGACACUGGUGUCUUUGUACGGACAAUUUGCCGAUCCCUGCUUUCCAGCUGCUGAACUGCAACUCCCAUUAUUUCCAUCCAGGGACAAGCACAUCCAGCCAGAAGGUUCUGAUUCAGGGUGUCAUGGAAAAAUAUUUUCAUUAGAAAUGCCACGUCGCAAUAGACGUAGAAGGCUGAUUAGUGUGAUCUAACCAGGGAAAAUGUGCAAGCAUUUCCUGAAAUUCAGUUGACCCUUCAAAAUCUUCCAGCGCAAGCAAAGCGCAUGACGUCGGACGCAUACGUCUAGACAAGAAACGGAUGGGGGAAUCAUUUCAAGUUACAUUAUGUAUUGUAAUAGCUGUUAAGUGUUAAGAAUUAAGUGUUAAGAAUUAAGUGUUAAGUUUUAAGUGUUAAGUUAUCAAUAAAAAAACGUAAAUACGUUU